UACGUAGGGUGCUAGCGUUGUUCGGAAUUACUGGGCGUAAAGCGUGCGCAGGCGGCUUCUCAAGUCAGGGGUGAAAGCCCAGAGCUUAACUCUGGAAUUGCCUUUGAGACUGAGAGGCUUGAGUACGGGAGAGGUGAGUGGAAUUCCCAGUGUAGAGGUGAAAUUCGUAGAUAUUGGGAAGAACACCGGUGGCGAAGGCGGCUCACUGGCCCGUAACUGACGCUCAUGCACGACAGCGUGGGGAUCAAACAGG
This 253-nucleotide ribosomal RNA is filed under the name uncultured bacterium. Its description in RNAcentral is "partial 16S ribosomal RNA". It matches the Rfam family "Bacterial small subunit ribosomal RNA", at positions 524 to 776 of the family's 1533-position model. The record is from RNAcentral.